GAUGAAGAACGUAGCGAAAUGCGAUACGUAAUGUGAAUUGCAGAAUUCAGUGAAUCAUCGAAUCUUUGAACGCUCCUUGCGCUCCUUGGUAUUCCGAGGAGCAUGCCUGUUUGAGUGUCAUUAAUAUAUCAACCUUCUCUUUUUUGAGUUGUUUGGAUGUGGGGGUUUGCUGGCCUCUUAAAUGAUUCAGCUCCCCUGAAAUGCAUUAGCAGAACAACCUGUUCAUUAGCGUGAUAAUUAUCUAUGCUAUUGAGUGUGAGGGCAGUUCAGCUUUCUAACCGUCCUUGGACAAUUCAUCAUUAAUGUGACCUCAAAUCAGGUAGGACUACCCGCUGAACUUAAGCAUAUCAAUAAGCGGAGGA
RNAcentral lists this unclassified non-coding RNA (362 nucleotides) under soil metagenome. RNAcentral's name for it is "partial contains 5.8S ribosomal RNA, internal transcribed spacer 2, and large subunit ribosomal RNA". The stretch from base 1 to 120 matches the Rfam family "5.8S ribosomal RNA", at positions 35 to 154 of the family's 154-position model. The record is from RNAcentral.